RNAcentral lists this small RNA (161 nucleotides) under Desulfotomaculum nigrificans. RNAcentral's name for it is "c-di-AMP sequence". It matches the Rfam family "c-di-AMP riboswitch aptamer (ydaO/yuaA leader)". From Rfam's summary of the family: This family represents a conserved RNA structure found upstream of the ydaO and yuaA genes in Bacillus subtilis and related genes in other bacteria. The ydaO/yuaA element is thought to act as a genetic "off" switch for the ydaO and yuaA genes in its native state. Lineage: Bacteria; Bacillati; Bacillota; Clostridia; Eubacteriales; Desulfotomaculaceae. The record is from RNAcentral. RNAcentral also lists the same sequence under 1 other name.
CUAUUAAAUAGGCCGAAUCUCCGUCAACCGGAGUACGGGGGACUAAUUUUUCUGGGGUGAAUCCGCAAACCUUGUUUUGGAGGUGUUUAAAACAGGUGCGGUAGGGUAACCUUCCAACCCGAACCCGACAACUAACCUCGAAGGCCAGAAGGAGGGUAUAG